RNAcentral lists this ribosomal RNA (440 nucleotides) under uncultured bacterium. RNAcentral's name for it is "partial 16S ribosomal RNA". It matches the Rfam family "Bacterial small subunit ribosomal RNA", at positions 338 to 795 of the family's 1533-position model. The record is from RNAcentral.
CCUACGGGGUGCAGCAGUGGGGGAUAUUGCACAAUGGGGGAAACCCUGAUGCAGCGACGCCGCGUGGGUGAAGAAGCGCCUCGGCGCGUAAAGCCCUGUCAGCAGGGGAGAAAAUGACGGUACCUGAAGAAGAAGCCCCGGCUAACGACGUGCCAGCAGCCGCGGUAAUACGUAGGGGGCAAGCGUUAUCCGGAUUUACUGGGUGUAAAGGGGGCGCAGACGGGGAUGCAAGCCAGGAGUGAAAGCCCGGGGCCCAACCCCGGGACUGCUGUUGGAACUGCGUGGCUAGAGUGCAGGAGGGGCAGGCGGAAUGCCUGGUGUAGCGGUGAAAUGCGUAGAUAUCAGGAGGAACACCGGUGGCGAAGGCGGCCUGCUGGACUGCAACUGACGUUGAGGCCCGAAAGCGUGGGGAGCAAACAGGAUUAGAUACCCUUGUAGUC